Oreochromis aureus is the source of this 1134-nucleotide long non-coding RNA. NCBI's taxonomy places the organism in Eukaryota, Metazoa, Chordata, Actinopteri, Cichliformes, Cichlidae. The record is from Ensembl.
UUUUAACUUGAAUUUUAUUGUCAUAUGUUGUAAUGGUACAAAAGGAGAGCCUGAACAUUAGGCAGAGUUCAGUUGUCCAUUGUUACAGACGUCCCACUUAAAAAGCCAGUGUUCAGUCCACUUGGCAACAAUUAGUAAAAGGCCUUGUGAUACAGACAGUGCUGAGUGAAACAAGUCCGUCCAUCCAACUUUUAGUUUACAUUUAACGCUGCUCAGGUUUAAAAGCGUUCCUUCCAGUAUCAAUGCACACAUGCUUUCAAAUGAAAUGGAUGGAAAUGAACCGUUUUCCCUGAUCUACAGGCAUCAGAAUACAGAGAUGAAUUGUACAGAGCAGAUACAAUCAUGAUUUAUGUUCCAUACACAGGCAGAUGUGAAUAUAAUGCAACCAUGGUAGUUUAAGAAAAAUCUAGGGCAAUGAAAAGGAAAUGAAACCGUCUGGAAAUGUACACUCUUGGGAAAUAUUAACAGAUGAUGUGCUGCUGUACACAAUGCCCACACUGGAGGGUGAGCUCACCUCCAUUUACAGUAAGUCAAGAUUGUCGAGAGUCGUUUCUGCCCUGUUUUGUUUAUUCAAAAACAGCAGUGUCCAAAGGGAAACCAGCAGCAAUAUGAAUGAUGAUUAUGAGCAAGAAAAAAACUGACCAGUCACGCUGCUUCACACAAACACUGCUUAAGUGAUACAUAAUUUAGAAAAACACAAAAGGAAUUGGGAAAAGCUGGAAAAUAACAAAAAAGAAGAAGAACAAAAACAAGAAAAGCUUUUAUACGCACUGACUUAAUGUGUUUGGGUGAAAAUGUGCUGAGACUGUAUCUGAAACUGCUAGAGUUUUCUUGUAACCAAGGAGCACGUAUGAGUCAUCAAAACUUCCUCCUUUUGGUUUUGUGGGAAUGUCUGACUGACCUUUUCCUUGGACCUUCACCUGAUUCACUAACAGAAAAGGGAGUGGGCUGAAAAUUAGACGCAUGAGUCAGAGGGAAGUGACGGUGAAGGACUGUACAGCCGAGUCACGGCUCUGAAGGACACGACAAAAAUGACCAAGGCAACUCGUCACCAUAAUAUUUGUGCGUAUGUGUCCAAACAUAUGCACGAAAAACAAACAAACACCCAGAUAAAAACAUACUCAUGGGAAUUUU